Molecule: unclassified non-coding RNA, 381 nt
Filed under: uncultured fungus
Lineage: Eukaryota; Fungi
Description: partial contains 5.8S ribosomal RNA and internal transcribed spacer 2
Rfam family: 5.8S ribosomal RNA (bases 1-133)
Source: RNAcentral
UGGUUCUCGCAUCGAUGAAGAACGCAGCGAAACGCGAUAGGUAAUGUGAAUUGCAGAAUUCCGUGAAUCAUCGAAUCUUUGAACGCACAUUGCGCUCCCCGGCAUUCCGAGGAGCAUGUCUGUCUGAGCGUCAGUACAAACCCUCCGCGAAAACCCUUUCCUCUCCGGGAAGGGCGGCAGCGGGUCUUGAGCUUCGGGCGGGAUGGUUCGCGCCAUCCCGCCUGGCUCCAAAGUGGAAAGAGUCUGCGGUCCACCCUAGCGCCUCCCCAUGAACGACGUAGUAAAUCCAUCGUCCUCGACUGGAAAUGCGCAAGGUGAGACCCGCCUCGAUCGAAACAACUUCUAUGGUUUGACCUCAGAUCAGAUAAGGAUACCCGCUGA